UAACGGAGGAGGCUAUACAUUAUCCUUUCUAGUUUUAGGUUCUUUAUCACCUUUAACUUGAAGGAAAACGUUCCAGCCUAUUCAUUCAAAUUAUAGAAUAGUUCUUUCAUUUUUGAAAAUUGAUUCAUGACCUUGGAGUUCUCUUGGAGCAAAAGAAAAGUUGGGAAAGAAAGAAGCCUCUCGGCCAAGGUGGUUCUAGCCGAGCAAUGGAGGAUUGAGGGGGAGAAAUCAUGCCUCAAAGUGUUGAAAUUAUUCAAGUGAUUAGCAAGGUUAAGAAGCUGAGUUUAUGGAGGUUGAGAUAUUAUUGGGCAGCGUAUACGUGUUGUGUGGCGAAUAAACGCUAAAGAUACAGGUGCUCACGUUGGUAACCCGCCAGCUUAGGAGUCCUAUUCAGCUAUCUUGGAGAGCUCCCUUGUCCCGGAGACUAGAUUUUGGUACAGAAUCUCUGUGGUGUAUAUGUAUUUUAUCCAGGGGUACGGCGGGGCCCUAUCCCGUCAUAUGAUACUGUUGUUACUCUUAGAGGUCUGUAGACAUAUGUGUGGGUUGUGUAUCGAUGUUGUUCAGUUGUGUCUAUAUGGCUUGUGUUUUGGGACGUUCCCAUUCGUAGUGGC
This is a long non-coding RNA of Lycium barbarum (goji berry), 611 nucleotides long. RefSeq lists it as uncharacterized. The transcript is spliced from 3 exons. The record is from RefSeq and is a predicted model, not a curated record. Lineage: Eukaryota; Viridiplantae; Streptophyta; Magnoliopsida; Solanales; Solanaceae.